RNAcentral lists this transfer RNA (74 nucleotides) under Uronema marinum. RNAcentral describes it as "tRNA-His". It matches the Rfam family "tRNA". From Rfam's summary of the family: Transfer RNA (tRNA) molecules are approximately 80 nucleotides in length. Their secondary structure includes four short double-helical elements and three loops (D, anti-codon, and T loops). The record is from RNAcentral. Lineage: Eukaryota; Ciliophora; Oligohymenophorea; Philasterida; Uronematidae.
GUAAGUAUAGCUUAAUUUGGUAAAGCGCUAAGUUGUGGCCUUAGAGAGUAUAGGUUCGAUUCCUAUUAUUUACC